ACGGGAGGCAGCAGUGAGGAAUUUUCCGCAAUGGGCGAAAGCCUGACGGAGCGACGCCGCGUGAGGGAUGAAGGUCUUCGGAUCGUAAACCUCUUUUAUUAAGGAAAAAGGUUUAUAUGUUAACCAUAUAAAUUUGAUGGUACUUAUUGAAUAAGCCCCGGCUAACUACGUGCCAGCAGCCGCGGUAAUACGUAGGGGGCGAGCGUUGUCCGGAGUUACUGGGCGUAAAGAGCGUGUAGGCGGUUAGUUAAGUCAGGUGUGAAAUCCUUCAGCUCAACUGAGGAACUGCGCCUGAAACUGAUUAACUGGAGUCUUGGAGGGGCAACUGGAAUUCCUGGUGUAACGGUGAAAUGUGUAGAUAUCAGGAGGAACACCUGUGGCGAAGGCGGGUUGCUGGACAAUGACUGACGCUGAGACGCGAAAGCGUGGGUAGCAAACAGGAUUAGAUACCCUGGUA
Molecule: ribosomal RNA, 457 nt
Filed under: uncultured bacterium
Lineage: Bacteria
Description: partial 16S ribosomal RNA
Rfam family: Bacterial small subunit ribosomal RNA
Source: RNAcentral